Molecule: ribosomal RNA, 521 nt
Filed under: uncultured bacterium
Lineage: Bacteria
Description: bacterial SSU rRNA
Rfam family: Bacterial small subunit ribosomal RNA
Source: RNAcentral
GUAACAGCCCACCAAGGCGACGAUGGGUAGCCGACCUGAGAGGGUGAUCGGCCACAUUGGGACUGAGACACGGCCCAGACUCCUACGGGAGGCAGCAGUGAGGAAUAUUGGUCAAUGGGCGAGAGCCUGAACCAGCCAAGUCGCGUGAGGGAUGAAUGGUCUAUGGCCUGUAAACCUCUUUUGUCAAGGAAGAAUAAAUCGCACGGGUGCGAUCUUGCCAGUACUUGACGAAUAAGCAUCGGCUAACUCCGUGCCAGCAGCCGCGGUAAUACGGGGGAUGCGAGCGUUAUCCGGAUUUAUUGGGUUUAAAGGGCGCGUAGGCGGGACGUCAAGUCAGCGGUAAAAGACUGCAGCUAAACUGUAGCACGCCGUUGAAACUGGCGCCCUCGAGACGAGACGAGGGAGGCGGAACAAGUGAAGUAGCGGUGAAAUGCAUAGAUAUCACUUGGAACCCCGAUAGCGAAGGCAGCUUCCCAGGCUCGAUCUGACGCUGAUGCGCGAGAGCGUGGGUAGCGAACAGG